UUGAGCGCUGGCGGCAUGCCUUACACAUGCAAGUCGAACGGCAGCACGGGUGCUUGCACCUGGUGGCGAGUGGCGAACGGGUGAGUAAUACAUCGGAACAUGUCCUGUAGUUGGGGAUAGCCCGGCGAAAGCCGGAUUAAUACCGCAUACGAUCUACGGAUGAAAUCGGGGGACCUUCGGGCCUCGCGCUAUAGGGUUGGCCGAUGGCUGAUUAGCUAGUUGGUGGGGUAAAGGCCUACCAAGGCGACGAUCAGUAGAUGGUCUGAGAGGACGACCAGCCACACUGGGACUGAGACACGGCCCAGACUCCUACGGGAAGCAGCAGUGGGGAAUUUUGGACAAUGGGCGAAAGCCUGAUCCAGCAAUGCCGAGUGUGUGAAGAAGGCCUUCGGGUUGUAAAGCACUUUUGUCCGGAAAGAAAUCCUUGGCUCUAAUACAGUCGGGGGAUGACGGUACCGGAAGAAUAAGCACCAGCUAACUACGUG
RNAcentral lists this ribosomal RNA (485 nucleotides) under uncultured bacterium. RNAcentral's name for it is "partial 16S ribosomal RNA". It matches the Rfam family "Bacterial small subunit ribosomal RNA", at positions 30 to 507 of the family's 1533-position model. The record is from RNAcentral.